RNAcentral lists this ribosomal RNA (1594 nucleotides) under Ahnfeltiopsis devoniensis. Its description in RNAcentral is "LSU rRNA". It matches the Rfam family "Eukaryotic large subunit ribosomal RNA", at positions 437 to 2159 of the family's 3401-position model. The record is from RNAcentral. Lineage: Eukaryota; Rhodophyta; Florideophyceae; Gigartinales; Phyllophoraceae.
UGGAUUGGUGGGCGCUUGUGUGUUCAGCCUUCGGGUGCAUUGGCACAAGUGCUUAUCCGCUGUGAGUUUUCGGGGGUCGAUUUUGGAUCCCUGGAGACUGAGGGCUCCCUUUUAGGUGAGGACAGCGGAGUGACGACGCGAUACGACCCGUCUUGAAACACGGACCAAGGAGUCUAGCGCGGGUGCGAGUCGGAGGGUGCAAGCCCGUGGGCGAAGUGAAAGCGAGUUUAAAAACGAGCAGUUUGGGGCGGCAUAAGAUCGUUGAUCUUAAGACCGACCCAGAGCAGUUGCGCUGGGACCCGAAAGAUGGUGAACUAUGCCGGAGUAGGGCAAAGCCAGAGGAAACUCUGGUGGAGGCUCGUAGCGGUGCUGACGUGCAAAUCGCUCGUCGAACUUGGGUAUAGGGGCGAAAGACUAAUCGAACCAUCUAGUAGCUGGUUCCCUCCGAAGUUUCUCUCAGGAUAGCGGGCCGACAAGUUGUUUUGUGCGGUAAAGCGAAUGAUUAGCGCAAUUGGGGGCGUCAAGCCUUCGGGCGAUUCUCAAACUUUCAAUGCGCAAGGGUGCCGCUGCUUAAUUGAGCGGUACCGGUAAAAACGUCGGCCCUGUGGGCCACUUUUGGUAAGCAGAACUGGCGAUACGGGAUGAACCGUAAGCAAGGUUAAGGCGCCAAACUGCCCGCUUAUAGACCCCACAAAAGGUGUUGAUUCAUCGAGACAGCAGGACGGUGGCCAUGGAAGUCGGAAUCCGCCAAGGAGUGUGUAACAACUCACCUGCCGAAUGAAUUAGCCCUGAAAAUGGAUGGCGCUGAAGCGGGCGGCCGACACCUUGCCGUCUGGACAAGAAUUUCAGAUGAGUAGGAGGGCGUGGCGGUCGUGUCGAAGCACGCGUGCAGACGCUUGUGGAACGACCGCUAGUGCAGAUCUUGGUGGUAGUAGCAAGUAUUCAAGCGAGAUCCUUGAAGGGCGAAGUGGGGAAGGGUUUCACGCGAACAUUGAUUGGGCGUGAGUGAGUCGUUCCUAAGCCGAGUGGCAAUUGCUAAUUAACGGCGAAAGGGAAGCGGGUUGACAUUCCCGCACACGGAUGUGGAGGCGGCGACGCAUUAUUGGGGCGAACACGCUGGCGAUGGCGCUGGGCAGAGUUGUCUUUUCUGUUUGACCACUUGCGCACGCAGUGUGGAAUCCUCUUAUAGGGAGAAACACGCGUGUACGGGCAGAGCGCUGGGGCUUUUCCAGCGUCCAGCUCGCCAUCGACGGCCCUUGAAACUUUGCCUGCUGAUAUAAGAUCCACGCCGUGGCGUACCGAUAACCGCAUCAGGUCCCCAAGGUGAACAGCCUCUGCUCAAUAUGAAAAAUGCAGGUAAGGGAAGUCGGCAAAUUAGACCCGUAACUUUGGGAAAAGGGUUGGCUCUAGUGCUGCGUGGGAGUGGUUGUUGGACGCUGGCGUUUUUAGCGUGGCGGCUUGGCGCGGGACUCCUUCGGGGGACCUGUUCCUACUGCUACGCCGAUUGCGCCACGGCCGACGACGCCCACAGCAUGCAGCAGACUAGAACUGCAACGGGCAAAGGGAAUCCGACUGUUUAAUUAAAACAAAGCAU